RNAcentral lists this ribosomal RNA (775 nucleotides) under Salmonella enterica. Its description in RNAcentral is "partial 23S ribosomal RNA". It matches the Rfam family "Bacterial large subunit ribosomal RNA", at positions 1 to 816 of the family's 2925-position model. Lineage: Bacteria; Pseudomonadati; Pseudomonadota; Gammaproteobacteria; Enterobacterales; Enterobacteriaceae. RNAcentral also lists the same sequence under 4 other names. The record is from RNAcentral.
GGUUAAGCGACUAAGCGUACACGGUGGAUGCCCUGGCAGUCAGAGGCGAUGAAGGACGUGCUAAUCUGCGAUAAGCGCCGGUAAGGUGAUAUGAACCGUUAUAACCGGCGAUUUCCGAAUGGGGAAACCCAGUGUGAUUCGUCACACUAUCAUUAACUGAAUCCAUAGGUUAAUGAGGCGAACCGGGGGAACUGAAACAUCUAAGUACCCCGAGGAAAAGAAAUCAACCGAGAUUCCCCCAGUAGCGGCGAGCGAACGGGGAGGAGCCCAGAGCCUGAAUCAGCAUGUGUGUUAGUGGAAGCGUCUGGAAAGGCGCGCGAUACAGGGUGACAGCCCCGUACACAAAAGCGCAUGUGCUGUGAGCUCGAUGAGUAGGGCGGGACACGUGGUAUCCUGUCUGAAUAUGGGGGGACCAUCCUCCAAGGCUAAAUACUCCUGACUGACCGAUAGUGAACCAGUACCGUGAGGGAAAGGCGAAAAGAACCCCGGCGAGGGGAGUGAAAAAGAACCUGAAACCGUGUACGUACAAGCAGUGGGAGCACAGGUUUACCUGUGUGACUGCGUACCUUUUGUAUAAUGGGUCAGCGACUUAUAUUCUGUAGCAAGGUUAACCGUAUAGGGGAGCCGUAGGGAAACCGAGUCUUAACCGGGCGUUAAGUUGCAGGGUAUAGACCCGAAACCCGGUGAUCUAGCCAUGGGCAGGUUGAAGGUUGGGUAACACUAACUGGAGGACCGAACCGACUAAUGUUGAAAAAUUAGCGGAUGACCUGUGGCU